UAGAGUUUGAUCCUGGCUCAGGACGAACGCUGGCGGCGUGCCUAAUACAUGCAAGUCGAGCGAAUCUUUGGGAGCUUGCUCCCAAUCGAUUAGCGGCGGACGGGUGAGUAACACGUGGGUAACCUGCCUGUAAGACUGGGAUAACUUCGGGAAACCGGAGCUAAUACCAGAUAAUUUCUUUUCUCGCAUGAGAGAAGAUGGAAAGAUGGUUUCGGCUAUCACUUACAGAUGGACCCGCGGCGCAUUAGCUAGUUGGUGAGGUAACGGCUCACCAAGGCGACGAUGCGUAGCCGACCUGAGAGGGUGAUCGGCCACACUGGGACUGAGACACGGCCCAGACUCCUACGGGAGGCAGCAGUAGGGAAUCUUGGACAAUGGGGGAAACCCUGAUCCAGCAAUGCCGCGUGUGUGAAGAAGGCCUUCGGGUUGUAAAGCACUUUCAGUGG
This 446-nucleotide ribosomal RNA is filed under the name uncultured bacterium. RNAcentral's name for it is "bacterial SSU rRNA". It matches the Rfam family "Bacterial small subunit ribosomal RNA", at positions 1 to 442 of the family's 1533-position model. The record is from RNAcentral.